Molecule: small RNA, 28 nt
Filed under: Bombyx mori (domestic silkworm)
Lineage: Eukaryota; Metazoa; Arthropoda; Insecta; Lepidoptera; Bombycidae
Description: ovarian small RNA-5022
Source: RNAcentral
GAAGAUUACACGAGCCCCAAGUCGUAUC